This is a non-coding RNA of Cricetulus griseus (Chinese hamster), 1166 nucleotides long. NCBI's taxonomy places the organism in Eukaryota, Metazoa, Chordata, Mammalia, Rodentia, Cricetidae. The record is from RefSeq and is a predicted model, not a curated record.
ACAGGAAUAAGAACAGAGUCUGUGACUCAGAGCUAGCUGUACACCGUGACUAAUUUUCCACCAUAAAUUAGAAGCUUGCAACAGCUAUAAAACUGCUUCCAGCUGAACAAUGAGCUCCUAGCUCUCACUAGCAUCUCAUCAACAAGCAAUUCAUGUGAAUCCUGAUAAAAAAAAUUAGAUACCUAACGAGGAUUGUAAUCAUAAAUAUAAUUAUACACUAGACUCAACACCUAAUUUUAAAGAUGAAAAAUACUUUUGAAGCAGAAAUUAAUAUUUCAUCUGAAUGAUUCUUCUUAAUUACAAGAAAUUUUACAUUUGACUGAGAGAAAACAGUUCUACUUUUGCCUGCUGGGUAUAUGGAAAUCAUAUACAGAAAAGGAGAAACGGCCCUGAUAAAAAUAGCUACCAGAAUAAUGCAAAUCAUUUCAUCCUUCUACAAACUUAUGACCUGAAAGACAGAUCUGAGUAGAAAAGGAAAUGGAUGCCCAGGACUCUGAUGCUGGAAGUCUUAAGAGUCCACAGAAGUACCAAGAAUGCCAAGAAAACAAUUAUUAAGAAGAUAUAUUCUGGAAAGUUUUCAUAUUAAUUGCUUCAUUUAAGUAAUGAUAAAACACACUCAAUAUGUUAGGGAGUUUUAUUUUCAUAUAAUUGUCCUUGCUUCAUCCUUUCAACCUCCCAUCAGGGUAAAAAAGGUUAAAUAUGUACUAAGUGCUCACAGAUCAUGUGGUUAGGCUAAGGAAGCAUAUGCUUUUAUAGCUUUAUAUAAAUACGCUAUAGUGUCUGUGGAGGUGGCUGAGUGUGUAAAUCACCUGACAUUCAAGUGUUAGGAGCAAAGAUUUGAUCCCUGGAACCUAUAUAACUGCUGGCUGGGCAUGGCAGCCUUCCUGACAUUCCAGAGCACGGCAUAAGGAGAUAUGGGAUCCCUAGAGCAAGCUGGUUAGCUACAGUAGCCAUAUCAAUGAACUCCGCAUUCAACUGAGAGACCCUGACUCAAUAUAGAAGGUGGACAUGGAUCAAAAAGAUGCUCAUAUAAGCAUACACAAGUGUGCAUGUAUGUGUGUGACCUCAUACACACAUCCCCAGACACAUACAAGCACACAUACAUACACAUAGAUAGGUAGACCUACUACAUAAGUAUACUAAUAAAAAUAAUUGUCAUGCAAAUA